GUAAAGACAAAGAGAGAAUAGAAUACCAAGUGACCAACCAAUGAAUCAUGAAGCUGGUUGAGAGAACCCCAAGAGUGUGUAAAGCUGUCGUCAAGGCAAAGGGAGGCUCCUUUGAAACAUAUAAAAUACUUUUUGGGGGUUACUAAAUGAUUCCAUGUGUGUUAUUUCAUAGAUAGGUGCAGUGUAAUGUGUUGUUUUACAGGGUCAGUCAUAGUAGUAUGAUAGGUGUUGUUUUACAGGGUCAGUCAUAGUAGUAUGAUAGGUGUUGUUGUACAGGGUCAGUCAUAGUAGUAUGAUAGGUGUUGUUUUACAGGGUCAGUCAUAGUAGUAUGAUAGGUGUUGUUUUACAGGGUCAGUCAUAGUAGUAUGAUAGGUGUUGUUUUACAGGGUCAGUCAUAGUAGUAUGAUAGGUGUUGUUUUACAGGGUCAGUCAUAGUAGUAUGAUAGGUGUUGUUUUACAGGGUCAGUCAUAGUAGUAUGAUAGGUGUUGUUUUACAGGGUCAGUCAUAGUAGUAUGAUAGGUGUUGUUUUACAGGGUCAGUCAUAGUAGUAUGAUAGGUGUUGUUUUACAGGGUCAGUCAGUAGUAUGAUAGGUGUUGUUUUACAGGGUCAGUCAUAGUAGUAUGAUAGGUGUUGUUUUACAGGGUCAGUCAUAGUAGUAUGAUAGGUGUUGUUUUACAGGGUCAGUCAUAGUAGUAUGAUAGGUGUUGUUUUACAGGGUCAGUCAUAGUAGUAUGAUAGGUGUUGUUUUACAGGGUCAGUCAGUAGUAUGAUAGGUGUUGUUUUACAGGGUCAGUCAUAGUAGUAUGAUAGGUGUUGUUUUACAGGGUCAGUCAUAGUAGUAUGAUAGGUGUUGUUUUACAGGGUCAGUCAGUAGUAUGAUAGGUGUUGUUUUACAGGGUCAGUCAUAGUAGUAUGAUAGGUGUUGUUGUACAGGGUCAGUCAUAGUAGUAUGAUAGGUGUUGUUUUACAGGGUCAGUCAUAGUAGUAUGAUAGGUGUUGUUGUACAGGGUCAGUCAUAGUAGUAUGAUAGGUGUUGUUGUACAGGGUCAGUCAUAGUAGUAUGAUAGGUGUUGUUGUACAGGGUCAGUCAUAGUAGUAUGAUAGGUGUUGUUUUAUAGGGUCAGUCAUAGUAGUAUGAUAGGUGUUGUUUUACAGGGUCAGUCAUAGUAGUAUGAUAGGUGUUGUUUUACAGGGUCAGUCAUAGUAGUAUGAUAGGUGUUGUUUUACAGGGUCAGACAUAGUAGUAUGAUAGGUGUUGUUUUACAGGGUCAGACAUAGUGGUACAAAACACAUUUUGUCAUAAGCAUCGUCACAUAUAAAUGUUUCCAUAAUUUCCAUCUAUUACUCUGAAUCGUUCUCAUGGACGAUUAAAUUAGUACAUUUUCAAAAUUGGAAACAUAUGGCCGCCUUUAAUUGGCCAAUUCCUCUCGCCAGUGUAAUGUAAAACCCAAUGGAAAGACAAACGCUAUUAAGACAGACAGACAGACAGACAGACAGACAGACAGACAGACAGACAGACAUCCCUUCUAUCCUCUACUGAAGCACUACGAUCCUAACUACUACCGUAUCUCAGGAGACUACAUCUCCUCAUCAUCCCUCCUCUUCAUCAUCUCCUGUCCUCUACAUUGUAGGAAACACUACGGUCCUAACUACUACCGUAUCUCAGGAGACUACAUCUCCUCAU
Molecule: long non-coding RNA, 1687 nt
Organism: Oncorhynchus keta (chum salmon)
Lineage: Eukaryota; Metazoa; Chordata; Actinopteri; Salmoniformes; Salmonidae
Exons: 3
Source: RefSeq, a predicted model, not a curated record